CACGUAUGGGGCGAGCGUUGUUCGGAUUUAUUGGGUGUAAAGGGCGCGUAGGCGGUUUUGCAAGCCUGGUGUGAAAUAUCUCAGCUCAACUGAGGGAACGCGCUGGGAACUGCAAGGCUAGAGUUCGAGAGGGGAGACUGGAAUUCCUGGUGUAGGGGUGAAAUCUGUAGAUAUCAGGAAGAACACCGGUGGCGAAGGCGAGUCUCUGGCUCUGGACUGACGCUGAGGCGCGAAAGCGUAGGGAGCAAACAGG
RNAcentral lists this ribosomal RNA (253 nucleotides) under uncultured bacterium. RNAcentral's name for it is "partial 16S ribosomal RNA". It matches the Rfam family "Bacterial small subunit ribosomal RNA", at positions 524 to 776 of the family's 1533-position model. The record is from RNAcentral.